AUAUCACGUUGAAUUACCGAUUCUCGUACGAUCACCGAAGUUAAGCAACAUCGAUCCUGGUCAGUACUGUUGGGUGACCGGUUGGGAAUACCAGGUACUGCAAG
Molecule: non-coding RNA, 104 nt
Organism: Acanthosepion pharaonis
Lineage: Eukaryota; Metazoa; Mollusca; Cephalopoda; Sepiida; Sepiidae
Source: the annotation of a GenBank genome assembly